CUUGCCAUUAAGAGCUGCUCAACAAUGGAAUGGGCUGCCUUGGAGGAUGUUUGCCUAUCCUUGUCACUGCUUGACAAGUGACAACUGACCCUGAAUUUUCACAACACAAAUUGAUUCAUAAGAACUCAACAAUCCCUGAAGGGCUUACUUGGAUCACUGAAGAUAAAGACAAGCUGUUUCUCUGCUCCAAUUUGACAUUUAUAUAAAUAGCAAAUAAAUGAUCUGAAAAACCACUUUGUUUUACUACUUUCCCCUCUUUCUGUAACUAUUGUGAUGGCAUACCAUUUGCAUGUGGAUGAGGUAACAAAUAAGCCAUAAGCUCAUUGGCUGUCUUAAGUCAUCUGCUAAGGAUGACCUAGAUACCAUUGUUGAACUAAAGUCUACUGCUACAGUGGUACCUAAGUUACUGUAACUCCCCUGUAUCUCACUCUUGUCUAGAGGAGAAGAUGCCAUCCAUAAGAGAACACCUUAACACCCAGACGUCAUGAGAAUAAAGUAUCAUCAAGUUCAGCAACUGUUCUUUUCCUAUCCACAGAUUAUUCAGGAUGGGGCAUUGAAUUAAUAAAUGAGAUCCAUUUCAAGCCAUAAAAGGGAGCAUGGGUGUUGUUGUCAUACAAUAGAUUUGAAGCAGGGAUCUGAAACUACCUGCAAAACAUACAGCAUAUUAAUCUUCUUCUGAAGUUGCAAUUCAUUUGGAGGUAAGUUUCUUAACUCAUUUUUGAGAAACUCGCAAAUCAUAUAUUUAGAGACAGCUAGAAGGAAGGAUAAAACAAUGGAUUAGAAUUUUGGGAAACAAAUGCUAUCCAUAUUGUUUUGGAAUUACUGUGUGGUCAC
Molecule: long non-coding RNA, 834 nt
Filed under: Pogona vitticeps (central bearded dragon)
Lineage: Eukaryota; Metazoa; Chordata; Lepidosauria; Squamata; Agamidae
Description: lncRNA (ENSPVIG00000011611.1)
Source: RNAcentral